UAUUCCGGAAGCCGCGACAAAAGCGGAGCUUGCUCCCGGAGGUUACCGGCGGAGGGGUGAGUAACACGUGGGUAACCAAACUGUAAGACUGGGAUAACUCCUGGAAACCGGAGCUAAUACCGGAUAGUUCCUUGAACCGCAGGGUUCAGGGAUGAAAGACGGUUUCGGCUGUCACUUACAGAUGGACCCGCGGCGCACUAUCUAGUUGGUGGGGUAAUGGCUCACCAAGGGGACCAUGCGUAGCCCACCUGAGAGGGUGAUCGGCCACACUGGGACUGAGACACGGCCCAAACUCCUACGGGAGGCAGCAGUAGGGAAUCUUCCGCAAUGGACGAAAGUCUGACGGAGCAACGCCGCGAGAGUGAUGAAGGUUUUCGGAUCGUAAAGCUCUGUUGUUAGGGAAGAACAAGUGCAAGAGUAACUGCUCGCACCUUGACGGUACCUAACCAGAAAGCCACGGCUAACUACGUGCCAGCAGCCGCGGUAAUACGUAGGUGGCAAGCGUUGUCCGGAAUUAUUGGGCGUAAAGGGCUCGCAGGCGGUUUCUUAAGUCUGAUGUGAAAGCC
RNAcentral lists this ribosomal RNA (566 nucleotides) under Bacillus safensis. RNAcentral's name for it is "bacterial SSU rRNA". It matches the Rfam family "Bacterial small subunit ribosomal RNA", at positions 50 to 602 of the family's 1533-position model. Lineage: Bacteria; Bacillati; Bacillota; Bacilli; Caryophanales; Bacillaceae. The record is from RNAcentral.